CCUACGGGAGGCAGCAGUGGGGAAUAUUGGACAAUGGGGGGAACCCUGAUCCAGCCAUGCCGCGUGUGUGAAGAAGGCCUUUUGGUUGUAAAGCACUUUAAGCGAGGAGGAGGCUACCGAGAUUAAUACUCUUGGAUAGUGGACGUUACUCGCAGAAUAAGCACCGGCUAACUCUGUGCCAGCAGCCGCGGUAAU
Molecule: ribosomal RNA, 195 nt
Filed under: uncultured bacterium
Lineage: Bacteria
Also listed under: 1 other name
Description: partial 16S ribosomal RNA
Rfam family: Bacterial small subunit ribosomal RNA
Source: RNAcentral